Molecule: ribosomal RNA, 450 nt
Filed under: uncultured organism
Description: partial 16S ribosomal RNA
Rfam family: Bacterial small subunit ribosomal RNA
Source: RNAcentral
GUACACUCCUACGGGAGGCAGCAGUGGGGAAUAUUGGACAAUGGGCGCAAGCCUGAUCCAGCCAUGCCGCGUGAGUGAUGAAGGCCCUAGGGUUGUAAAGCUCUUUCACCGGUGAAGAUAAUGACGGUAACCGGAGAAGAAGCCCCGGCUAACUUCGUGCCAGCAGCCGCGGUAAUACGAAGGGGGCUAGCGUUGUUCGGAUUUACUGGGCGUAAAGCGCACGUAGGCGGACUAUUAAGUCAGGGGUGAAAUCCCGGGGCUCAACCCCGGAACUGCCUUUGAUACUGGUAGUCUUGAGUUCGAGAGAGGUGAGUGGAAUUCCGAGUGUAGAGGUGAAAUUCGUAGAUAUUCGGAGGAACACCAGUGGCGAAGGCGGCUCACUGGCUCGAUACUGACGCUGAGGUGCGAAAGCGUGGGGAGCAAACAGGAUUAGAAACCCCUGUAGUCCCA